AUUGCAAUAGCCCAGUGCCUCGGUGAAGGCUGUAUUUCACAUCCCAACAACAUGGAACAAAUUGCACAAACUCAAGGAAUUAGAUCCCUUGGUAACAAAUAUUGAAGUCACUUUUUAAAAUGUCACCAAAUGGCUCUGUUAACUCUGUUUUGUAACAAGUGAGAGGCAGAUGGCACUUUGAAGUGUAUGAUGCAUCUUGGAAGAGCAAAAUUGCUCAGGCAUUUUUGUCUAGUUUGCUAAGAUGGAGUGACAAUGCCCCAGAUGAAAGGUGCUUGGCAUGCCCUCACACAAAAGGCUGAGUACCAUUGAGGUACUUACACUGUUUGCUUUUGGCACAAGUGUCUCCCAGAACUGUUUAAUUGACUAAGCCUGAGUCAUUAAAUACCCCGAAGUAUCAAAGAAGCACACAGAGAGUGUAAGACAACAGAAGCCAAGACUCUUCUCCAGGGUGGAAAUAGCCUGAAGAUGUCUGCGUGGAUGAGGAAGAGGGCUGUUUACUUUCAGUGUUUGCAAGAACGUUCAACAGCUGGAUGCUUGGAACUUUGCACAGAUGCAGACUUUAGAGCAAAGCCCCUUUUCUCUGGCAGCAAGAAGCACUCACUCCCCUUCCCCCAUCACCUCUGCUUGGCUUCAGUGUAUUUUCCUGAUUUGCUUUUAAAAAGCAUACUCCUAAGCUUCAAAGGGUGGCAGAUAGAGGCACCCUGGAAGGUCAGAGUGUCCGGUGGUGCAGGAGUCUCUACAGAGUGCCUGACUAUUGGGAGGGGCUUCACAAACAAAGAAAAAAGAA
RNAcentral lists this long non-coding RNA (787 nucleotides) under Mus caroli (Ryukyu mouse). RNAcentral's name for it is "predicted gene 15866 (MGP_CAROLIEiJ_G0003665.1)". Lineage: Eukaryota; Metazoa; Chordata; Mammalia; Rodentia; Muridae. The record is from RNAcentral.